RNAcentral lists this ribosomal RNA (501 nucleotides) under uncultured bacterium. RNAcentral describes it as "partial 16S ribosomal RNA". It matches the Rfam family "Bacterial small subunit ribosomal RNA", at positions 30 to 523 of the family's 1533-position model. The record is from RNAcentral.
AUUGAACGCUGGCGGCAGGCUUAACACAUGCAAGUCGAGCGGGGAAAGGUAGCUUGCUACUUUACCUAGCGGCGGACGGGUGAGUAAUGCUUAGGAAUCUGCCUAUUAGUGGGGGACAACAUCUCGAAAGGGAUGCUAAUACCGCAUACGUCCUACGGGAGAAAGCAGGGGACCUCCGGGCCUUGCGCUAAUAGAUGAGCCUAAGUCGGAUUAGCUAGUUGGUGGGGUAAAGGCCUACCAAGGCGACGAUCUGUAGCGGGUCUGAGAGGAUGAUCCGCCACACUGGGACUGAGACACGGCCCAGACUCCUACGGGAGGCAGCAGUGGGGAAUAUUGGACAAUGGGGGGAACCCUGAUCCAGCCAUGCCGCGUGUGUGAAGAAGGCCUUUUGGUUGUAAAGCACUUUAAGCGAGGAGGAGGCUACCGAGAUUAAUACUUUUGGAUAGUGGACGUUACUCGCAGAAUAAGCACCGGCUAACUCUGUGCCAGCAGCCGCCGUAA